RNAcentral lists this ribosomal RNA (1395 nucleotides) under uncultured bacterium. Its description in RNAcentral is "bacterial SSU rRNA". It matches the Rfam family "Bacterial small subunit ribosomal RNA". The record is from RNAcentral.
AGAGUUUGAUCCUGGCUCAGGAUGAACGCUGGCGGCGUGCCUAACACAUGCAAGUCGAACGGAUCUCCCUUACAGACUAUUUAUAUACAAGUACCUGGCGGAUGAGUGAGUAACGGGUGAAUAACCUGCCGACUACCUGGCGAUAACACUUGGAAAUCGGUGCUAAUCCCCUGUGAACACCCCACUCCCCCUGGAGGCCUGUGAAAACCUCCGGUGGAAUCCAAAGGAUCCGCGUCUGAUUAGGCUAGUUGGCGGGGUAACGGCCCACCAAGCCCACGAUCAGUAGCCGGCCUGAGAGGGCGGACGGCCACAUUGGGACUGAGACACGGCCCAGACUCCUGCGGGAGGCAGCAGUGGGGAAUAUUGCACAAUGGGGGGAACCCUGAUGCAGCGACGCCGCGUGAAGGAAGAAGUAUCUCGGUAUGUAAAGUUCUAUCAGCAGGGAAGAUAAAGGACGUUCCUUGAUUAGGAAGCCCGGGUUAAUUACGUGCCACCAGCCGCGUUAAUACGUAGGGGCCAAGCUUUUUCCGGUUUUAUUGGGUGUAAAGGGAGGGUAGACGCCCAUCCAAUCUGGAUGUGAAAGCCGGGGCCCCACCCCGCAGAUUGCUUUGAAAAUUGUAGGGUUGGAGUGCGGGAGGGGCAGGCGGAUUUCUUGGUGUAGCGGUGAAAUGGGUAGAUAUCAGGAGGACCCCCGGUGGGGAAGGCGGCUUGUUGGCCGUAGACUGACGUUGAGGUUGGAAAGCUUGGGGACAAACCAGGAUUAGAUCCCUUGGUAUUCCACCCCGUAAACGAUGUUAUAUCAGGGUGUUUGGGGGCACCAAGGAGUCCCGGUGCCGUAGCAAACGCCAUUAAAGUUAUUCCACCUGGGGAGUACGUUGGCAAGAGUGAAAUUCAAGGGAAUUGACGGGGACCCGCACCAAGCGGUGGAGCAUGUGGUUUAAUCCGAAGCAACGCGAAGAACCUUACCUGCUCUUGAACAUCCCGCUGACGGCGGGAGUAACGUCCCCUUCCCUUCGGGACACCGGAGACAGGUGGUGCAUGGUUGUCGUCAGCUCGUGUCGUAAGAUGUUGGGUUAAGUCCCGCAACGAGCGCAACCCCUGUUUCCAGUAGCCAGCAUGAAGGAGUGGGCACUCUGGAGAGGACUGCCGGGGGACAACCGGGAGGAAGGCGGGGAUGACGUCAAAUCAUCAUGCCCCUUAUGGCCUGGGCUACACACGUGCUACAAUGGCGCACACAAAGGGAGGCGAAGGGGUGACCUCAAGCAAAUCCCAGAAAAGGUGUCCCAGUUCGGAUCGCAGCCUGCAACCCGGCUGCGUGAAGCUGGAAUCGCUAGUAAUCGCGGAUCAGAAUGCCGCGGUGAAUACGUUCCCGGGUCUUGCACACACCGCCCGUCA